UACGUAGGGUGCGAGCGUUGUCCGGAAUUAUUGGGCGUAAAGAGCUUGUAGGCGGUUUGUCGCGUCUGCUGUGAAAAUCCGGGGCUCAACCCCGGACUUGCAGUGGGUACGGGCAGACUAGAGUGUGGUAGGGGAGAUUGGAAUUCCUGGUGUAGCGGUGGAAUGCGCAGAUAUCAGGAGGAACACCAAUGGCGAAGGCAGAUCUCUGGGCCGUAACUGACGCUGAGGAGCGAAAGCAUGGGGAGCGAACAGG
RNAcentral lists this ribosomal RNA (253 nucleotides) under uncultured bacterium. Its description in RNAcentral is "partial 16S ribosomal RNA". It matches the Rfam family "Bacterial small subunit ribosomal RNA", at positions 524 to 776 of the family's 1533-position model. The record is from RNAcentral.